GUGUCUUAUGAAUUGGGAUAAGGUUAGCACUCCCUUUGAUAAGGAUGGAAGAUGUCCUAAUGACCUUUACAAUAUACAUACAUUUAAGGAAUUGACACCUACUCUGUGGAAUCUAACCCUGUUUCUUU
Small nuclear RNA from Monodelphis domestica (gray short-tailed opossum), 128 nucleotides. The record is from Ensembl. Lineage: Eukaryota; Metazoa; Chordata; Mammalia; Didelphimorphia; Didelphidae.